CUACAGAUUUGCUUUAAGGUCUUUAUUCUCGCCAUGGGCUGCACUGGAAGUGGUAGAUUGGAAUUAACGCGCUACAAUUCCAGUAACUUUUGGGAUUACAAAUAUAAACCUCCUGGGCCAUGAGGAGACUGGGAAGGGCUCACUACAGGUACAGGAACACUGGAGCUGGGAGAGGUUGAGUCCCCUGUCCAGAGUCCCACUGCCCACAGGUAGAAAAACCACAAUGGAGCACAGUGAAUUUAAAACAGCUGAACUCAUCCUCACAGUAACUUCAGUGGGAUCAAGGAGAGCACGGCCCUGCUUGCUGGUCGUUCUGCAACCUCGUGAUGUGCAACGGCCCUGAGUACUACACGCGCCCUUAGGCAAGGUACCUGAUGAGGGAGAUGCGGAUCCACCUCACAAGGCUGCUGUGAGGUUUCAAUGAACUAACACAUGCAAAAGGACUACAGCCUCCUGCACGCAAGUAUGCGGUGCUAUCUGUACUGCUGAGGUUGGUGCAGCCACAAAGGAAGCGCAAACUGGAUGGAAAGACAGACACCUAUCAGCUUUCCCUACUCUGAAGAAACUCACUCGGAACCUGAUUCUACAUCUCGCCUCUGAAAACCUGAAUUCUCUUCCUUCAAUUUAGAUACGGUUAAAACCUUAACAUUCUCAGGAAAAAAAGCAUAAGUUGACUCAUUCAUCUAAUCAACCUCCCACUUUUUUUUGGCUAGGUUUCACUGUCAACCUUCUUGAAUACGUCCUGUAGCUACUGUGAUGGAAAUGACUGAGAUGUCCUUCAGGAAAACCAGCUAGCACUUCCCUGGGGAGGUCAAAACUUAAUCAUGUGAAUUUCCCUAGAGCUACGCAGAGGCAGGAACACAAUAAAUAGAUUAACAUGAAAA
Long non-coding RNA from Chinchilla lanigera (long-tailed chinchilla), 884 nucleotides. RefSeq lists it as uncharacterized. NCBI's taxonomy places the organism in Eukaryota, Metazoa, Chordata, Mammalia, Rodentia, Chinchillidae. The transcript is spliced from 3 exons. The record is from RefSeq and is a predicted model, not a curated record.